Molecule: ribosomal RNA, 370 nt
Filed under: uncultured organism
Description: bacterial SSU rRNA
Rfam family: Bacterial small subunit ribosomal RNA
Source: RNAcentral
CGUAGGGUGCGAGCGUUAAUCGGAAUUACUGGGCGUAAAGCGUGCGCAGGCGGUUAUGUAAGACAGUUGUGAAAUCCCCGGGCUCAACCUGGGAACUGCAUCUGUGACUGCAUAGCUAGAGUACGGUAGAGGGGGAUGGAAUUCCGCGUGUAGCAGUGAAAUGCGUAGAUAUGCGGAGGAACACCGAUGGCGAAGGCAAUCCCCUGGACCUGUACUGACGCUCAUGCACGAAAGCGUGGGGAGCAAACAGGAUUAGAUACCCUGGUAGUCCACGCCCUAAACGAUGUCAACUGGUUGUUGGGUCUUCACUGACUCAGUAACGAAGCUAACGCGUGAAGUUGACCGCCUGGGGAGUACGGCCGCAAGGUUG